Non-coding RNA from Labrus bergylta (ballan wrasse), 600 nucleotides. Lineage: Eukaryota; Metazoa; Chordata; Actinopteri; Labriformes; Labridae. The record is from RefSeq and is a predicted model, not a curated record.
UGUACAUACAUUCACAGGUGAAGCGUACAGUCUCUGUGCACACACAUCUUCCCAGAGGACAGUUCAUCCCCCUGAAAGUCCUCCUCUCUCUGAGCCAGAAUCUGCCCCCAAACACCCUCCACACCCUCCUCACCCUCGUCCUCACACGUACCAGCCGUUUUACAGCCUCCGUCACCACGCAAUGCACUUUGCCUCUAAAGCCGAGAAUCUGCCUCAGACUGCCGCUCCAGCGAGCGCUGCCAUCUCCCAGCCAGGGAGUCAGGGAGAGUGUGGGGAAGCCAUAGACGUUCCUAAGGUGUGGAUAGUCCGCUGCUGUGGACCCCCUGCCUUCAACUGCUACAACUAUUAAUAUCAGCUGUACAUCUAUUACAAUUAUUUAGGAGCUGCUCAACUUGAAAUGCUAUAAUUUACAUUAUCAGACCUCCCCAUUUCACUUUGUGGAUGGCUGUUCAACGUGAGUCUUUUCUGCUCGAGGUUUCUGCCUGUGUUGCUUAGUGCUGUGUUCAUGGUGGAUUCAUGUUGGGUCUUUGCAAUUAAUAGUAUAAAGAGUAAUGUCUAGACCUGCUCUUAUUGUAAAGUGUCUUGAGAUAACGUUUGUUA